This 481-nucleotide ribosomal RNA is filed under the name uncultured bacterium. Its description in RNAcentral is "bacterial SSU rRNA". It matches the Rfam family "Bacterial small subunit ribosomal RNA", at positions 191 to 651 of the family's 1533-position model. The record is from RNAcentral.
GGCUCUGUGGUGAAAGGGGCCUCUGUUUACAAGCUCCUGCUUCUGGAUGAGCCCGCGUCCCAUCAGCUAGUUGGUAGGGUAAUGGCCUACCAAGGCUACGACGGGUAGCUGGUCUAAGAGGAUGGCCAGCCACACUGGAACUGAGACACGGUCCAGACUCCUACGGGAGGCAGCAGUGGGGAAUCUUGCGCAAUGGGCGAAAGCCUGACGCAGCGACGCCGCGUGGGUGACGAAGGCCUUCGGGUUGUAAAGCCCUGUGGGGUAGAACGAACUGGCAUCGGGCUAAUAUCCCGGUGUCUUGACGGUACUGCCUUAGCAAGCAUCGGCUAACUCUGUGCCAGCAGCCGCGGUAAGACAGAGGAUGCGAACGUUGCUCGGAUUUACUGGGCGUAAAGCGCGUGUAGGCGGUCUCGUUAGUCGGGUGUGAAAGCCCCGGGCUCAACCCGGGAAGUGCACCCGAUACUGCGAGACUGGGGUACUG